UCAAUCAUUAUUUCAAAUUAUUAUUACUUUCAACAACUAAAGAAAAUUUCGACAAAACAAUUGUUCUUGCAUAUAAUCAUAGAUCCUAAUUAUGCUGUAAAAUUUUUCUAAUAGCGCCAACUGGAGCAUUGUUAAUAACAUCCUCCUCAAUCCCACAAGUGCAUCUUCCAUUCACACAAAAGGGAAUAGCAUCGCGACAUUGAAACCAACAAUCCUUCCAUGAUUUGCACGGUCCAUCUGAACCUUCUACACUCUGCAAGCCUAUAAAAAAAAUAAGAAUUAGUAUUUUAUAAUAAAGCUUUAUAAUAUUUUUGUUUGAAUAUGGUAAAAUAAUAGUACUAACUCAUGUAAAAAUAAGAAUUAAUAUUUUAUAAUAAAGCUUUAUACUAUUUUUGUUUGAAUAUGGUAAAAUAAUAGUACUAACUCAUGUAAAAUAAAAUAAUACUAGACAAUAGUAUAAUUUUAUUGUCAUACCAACAAGGGUUGUGACUUGUGGUAGAGUGGUAAGUACUCAUUCAUUCUUAAUAAGAAGUUUUGAAUUCGAGUCCCUUGGUAUGGAGUUGCCUUUAUAAGGAAGCGCUUUACCUCUAAUGUGGGCUUCCCGGCGUGAAUCCGAAUUUAUUUGGGCCUUAAUGUGGGUACUGACACCGAGUGGAAACCAAAUUUUUUAUAGGCAUACAAUCAAAUCAUAAUUAAACUAGGAUUUAUUUGAAUGAUAGAGUAAAAGAGAGAGUAAUACCUAUCGUGAUAAG
This 752-nucleotide long non-coding RNA is filed under the name Nicotiana benthamiana. Its description in RNAcentral is "long non-coding RNA (NBEN_LNC030539)". The record is from RNAcentral. Lineage: Eukaryota; Viridiplantae; Streptophyta; Magnoliopsida; Solanales; Solanaceae.